UCACGCCCCGGGUGCGUCGCAGCCCCGGAACCAGGCGCCCGCCGGAGGGACCAACCAAACUCUUUCUGUAGUCCCCUCGCGGACGUUAUUUCUUACAGCUCUGAGCAAAAAUUCAAAAUGAAUCAAAACUUUCAACAACGGAUCUCUUGGUUCUGGCAUCGAUGAAGAACGCAGCGAAAUGCGAUAAGUAAUGUGAAUUGCAGAAUUCAGUGAAUCAUCGAAUCUUUGAACGCACAUUGCGCCCGCCAGUAUUCUGGCGGGCAUGCCUGUCCGAGCGUCAUUUCAACCCUCGAACCCCUCCGGGGGUCCGGCGUUGGGGAUCGGGAACCCCUAAGACGGGAUCCCGGCCCCGAAAUACAGUGGCGGUCUCGCCGCAGCCUCUCAUGCGCAGUAGUUUGCACAACUCGCACCGGGAGCGCGGCGCGUCCACGUCCGUAAAACACCCAACUUCUGAAAUGUUGACCUCGGAUCAGGUAGGAAUACC
This 484-nucleotide ribosomal RNA is filed under the name Trichoderma sp. P-43. RNAcentral's name for it is "partial internal transcribed spacer 1, 5.8S ribosomal RNA, and internal transcribed spacer 2". The stretch from base 127 to 280 matches the Rfam family "5.8S ribosomal RNA". The record is from RNAcentral. Lineage: Eukaryota; Fungi; Ascomycota; Sordariomycetes; Hypocreales; Hypocreaceae.